This 262-nucleotide ribosomal RNA is filed under the name uncultured bacterium. RNAcentral describes it as "partial 16S ribosomal RNA". It matches the Rfam family "Bacterial small subunit ribosomal RNA", at positions 91 to 354 of the family's 1533-position model. The record is from RNAcentral.
CGGACCGGCGCACGGGUGCGUAACGCGUAUGCAACCUACCAUCAACAGGGGGAUAACACUGAGAAAUUGGUACUAAUACCCCAUAAUAUCUCAUGCGGCAUCGCAUGGGGUUGAAAACUCCGGUGGUUGAUGAUGGGCAUGCGUUGUAUUAGCUGGUUGGUGAGGUAACGGCUCACCAAGGCGACGAUACAUAGGGGGACUGAGAGGUUAACCCCCCACAUUGGUACUGAGACACGGACCAAACUCCUACGGGAGGCAGCAG